Molecule: unclassified non-coding RNA, 422 nt
Filed under: Senecio glomeratus
Lineage: Eukaryota; Viridiplantae; Streptophyta; Magnoliopsida; Asterales; Asteraceae
Description: partial contains external transcribed spacer and 18S ribosomal RNA
Rfam family: Eukaryotic small subunit ribosomal RNA (bases 369-422)
Source: RNAcentral
CAACUUCCACCUGGCUUACCUCCNUCAGUUAUGCGUCAUGACUUGUAUCGUCUUGAGCGUAUUGUGGGUUUCCUGUGUUGCAUACCUAAUAAUGGAAUCGUUUUGGUUGAUUGAAGUCCCUUUUCAUCACGUGUUKCCUUUGCGACGCAUGAUGAACCUCGAAGCGGUCUCUAUGUUCCACCACGUUGAUGCUAGUGUCUUGAUGUUGUGGCCCAUUGAGUGUUGCUUGGUUUCGUGGAUACAGAACAUGAUUUGGGCAUAGGGUCACCUGUGACUCUUGUUUUGUCCUUUAUCAGUGUUCUCUAUAACGACGGUUCAUGCGCGCCUAGGCUCGUACCUGCGCGAUGUUCUUUGUCGAAGAGGAAUGCUACCUGGUUGAUCCUGCCAGUAGUCAUAUGCUUGUCUCAAAGAUUAAGCCAUGC